UUUCUUAAAUCAUCAAUUCAAUCCAGUCUUUUUUUUGGAAGUUCUGGUUUUCAGUUGUUUUAGUUUGGUUCAAUUCGAAACUGAACCAAUCAAAUGCUCAAGCCUAAUUUCAAGGUUUCUCCAAGAGGUAGAAGAGGGAGUAAUAUUCAUUACUGCUGCAAUGGCAACAACACCAAGGAAGGCAGAAGACAAAAACAGAUAGCCUUCUUCUUAUUCGGUGGGGUGGGUGUAAGCUAGGUUGGUUUGGGUAGGAAUUGACAAAGUUGAGGAGUGGAGGACUAAAGAGAGAGACUGGGAAAAAAGAGAGAGAAUGAUAUAGGGAGAGAGAUAACAUGAAUUCGAUUAUGGCUAAUUAGGAAAAAUUUAAAUCUCUUAAUUUUCUUAAUCUAAUUAAGGGCAUUUUCAUCUUUCUGCAAUUCUCCAAAGGCUAAAACCACUUAAAUUGAAUGGAGGGACCUACUAGUUAAUAAAAGCAAAUGUGAAGGAGUAAAUAGUCUAUUUUUCAAAAUACAAGGAUUAAUUAGUAAACAAUGUCAAAAUCAAAAGACCCCAUAAUGAUGGCCAAAAGCAUAUUCCUCCCCCUGAACUUUUACUUAAAAGUCAAUUUGCCUCUUAAUUACAAAUAAGCCAAUUUGCCCUUUAAUUUAAAUAAUUGUCCGUUUGACUAUCCGAACUUUUAUUUUUUGUACUUGUUUAACACUUGUAGGGAGGAGAGGGAAUGCGUGAAGGCAAGCUCCAAUGACAUGGCAAAACCCAUCUGAUGUGUUAUCCACAUACUGCUAUCUAAGCAAAAUUAUGUUCAUUUAGUUCAAUUUUUUAAAUUAGGGGCGCAAAUUGGUUCACUUUUAAAUUAAGAAAUUAUAUAUUCAUUACCACCACCAGCAGUAACCUUAUUAACGUAAACUGUAGAUUUGUACAUGUUUUCAUCAAGAAGUUAGACAUUUGUGGGGGCUUUGUAGUUUCAUCAUUUUGAGUUUUCUAUUCACACAAUGAAUUUUUGGAUUUGAGUUUUAAUUUGGCUAUGUUUUUUUUAGCAUUGUACCGGCGGCUUGAUUUUAAUUUUGCGUGGAGAUCGUAUGUUUUACAUUAUAAAUUACAUGAAGACCUCUCACUAUAGAGCAAAGUCCGAAUCAUGGGGAUAAAUUGCAUCAGAACCUUCAAGAAAGAGGAGUUCAACAAGGACUACAUUUCUUCAUGCAUAAAUACACGUCCAACAAGUCCAUACCCACAAGGAAUUUCCAUGGACCGCAACAAUGGCGCUAUCUGUGGGAACAACAUAAAAAGUUGUGUGUCUUCCCCUUUAAUUUUGUCAUGAAAACUUACUCAAACAGCACAUUCAAAUGAGGAAAAGGAAUUGGAUGGCAACUUAGUCAAGAAAUUUGUUAGUGCUGCCCAAAAAAUUAUAUUUGAAAGGAGUCACGGAGCAUUGUCACCAAAUUCAUUGAUGGUUGCACGAUCAUGAGCUUGCCGCUAGUCUUGGAUAAAUUUUGAUAACUGUCACUGAACUUAUCUAGUUGUAAUAUU
RNAcentral lists this unclassified non-coding RNA (1524 nucleotides) under Hevea brasiliensis (rubber tree). Lineage: Eukaryota; Viridiplantae; Streptophyta; Magnoliopsida; Malpighiales; Euphorbiaceae. The record is from RNAcentral.